This 463-nucleotide ribosomal RNA is filed under the name Hermatobates djiboutensis. RNAcentral describes it as "partial 16S ribosomal RNA". The record is from RNAcentral. Lineage: Eukaryota; Metazoa; Arthropoda; Insecta; Hemiptera; Hermatobatidae.
UUUUAAUCCAACAUGGAGGUCGCAAACUUAAUUCAUCGAUAUGAACUCUCCGAAUAAAUGACGCUGUUAUCCCUUAGGUAACUUAAACUUAAAAUCCAUAAAAAAGGAUCAAAAAAACAAAAAUUUUUGAAAAAUAAAAUUAAAAGUUAAAAAAAUUUUAAUGUCACCCCAACAAAAUUUAAAUAAAAUUUACAAAAAAAAUAUGAACAAAAAAAAUUAUAAAAAAAAUAAAUAAAGUUCUAAAGGGUCUUCUCGUCCUAUAAAAAAAUUUCAGCUUUUUAACUAAAAAAUAAAAUUCUUAAAAUUUAAUUAAGAAAGAAUAUAUCUCAUCCGACCAUUCAUACCAGCCUUCAAUUAAAAGACAAAUUAUUAUGCUACCUUUGUACAAUCAAUAUAUUGCAGCCAUUUAAAUAAUCAUUGGGCAGGCCAAAUCUAAAAUUAUAAUCUAUAAAACAUGUUUUUG